CAGCUUGGCGUGGGUGACUCAAUCGACCGUAACAUUCCUUCUCGUGUUCCCAUUGAAGGUUGUCGGCCAAAAAAUGUUGCUUGUGGUUGGUGGCACACGCUACUGCUGGCGGAAACACCACUUUGAGUCCUUACAUUCAUCAUAGAUAACAAAGUGGUGACAGUUUUGCUAGGAUAGCGACUUCUUCCCCCAGUUUAUUUUUAUUUGACGCUUGUACUCUCGCGUAUAAUGUAUAUACUGCAUGAAAGCAUCUGUCAAAUUUUCUUUUCUUUCUCUAGGAGAUAGCAAACUGGUACUUCAUAGCAAAAAAACGACAAUAGUCCUUGUAAUGAUACAAU
This 338-nucleotide unclassified non-coding RNA is filed under the name Hevea brasiliensis (rubber tree). Lineage: Eukaryota; Viridiplantae; Streptophyta; Magnoliopsida; Malpighiales; Euphorbiaceae. The record is from RNAcentral.